GUCCGUUUCCCAUAAGGCUGAGCUGUGAUGGCGAGCGAAAUAUAGUAGCGAAGUUCCUGAUUCCACACUGCCAAGAAAAGCCUCUAGCGAGGUGAGAGGUGCCCGUACCGCAAACCGACACAGGUAGGCGAGGAGAGAAUCCUAAGGUGAUCGAGAGAACUCUCGUUAAGGAACUCGGCAAAAUGACCCCGUAACUUCGGGAGAAGGGGUGCUCUGUUAGGGUGCAAGCCCGAGAGAGCCGCAGUGAAUAGGCCCAGGCGACUGUUUAGCAAAAACACAGGUCUCUGCGAAGCCGUAAGGCGAAGUAUAGGGGCUGACGCCUGCCCGGUGCUGGAAGGUUAAGAGGAGCGCUUAGCGUAAGCGAAGGUGCGAAUUGAAGCCCCAGUAAACGGCGGCCGUAACAAUAACGGUCCUAAGGUAGCGAAAUUCCUUGUCGGGUAAGUUCCGACCCGCACGAAAGGCGCAACGAUCUGGGCACUGUCUCAACGAGAGACUCGGUGAAAUUAUAGUACCUGUGAAGAUGCAGGUUACCCGCGACAGGACGGAAAGACCCCGUGGAGCUUUACUGCAGCCUGAUAUUGAAUGUUGGUACAGCUUGUACAGGAUAGGUAGGAGCCUUGGAAACCGGAGCGCCAGCUUCGGUGGAGGCAUCGGUGGGAUACUACCCUGGCUGUAUUGACCUUCUAACCCGCCGCCCUUAUCGGGCGGGGAGACAGUGUCAGGUGGGCAGUUUGACUGGGGCGGUCGCCUCCUAAAAGGUAACGGAGGCGCCCAAAGGUUCCCUCAGAAUGGUUGGAAAUCAUUCGCAGAGUGUAAAGGCACAAGGGAGCUUGACUGCGAGACCUACAAGUCGAGCAGGGACGAAAGUCGGGCUUAGUGAUCCGGUGGUUCCGCAUGGAAGGGCCAUCGCUCAACGGAUAAAAGCUACCCCGGGGAUAACAGGCUUAUCUCCCCCAAGAGUCCACAUCGACGGGGAGGUUUGGCACCUCGAUGUCGGCUCAUCGCAUCCUGGGGCUGUAGUCGGUCCCAAGGGUUGGGCUGUUCGCCCAUUAAAGCGGUACGCGAGCUGGGUUCAGAACGUCGUGAGACAGUUCGGUCCCUAUCCGUCGCGGGCGCAGGAAAUUUGAGAGGAGCUGUCCUUAGUACGAGAGGACCGGGAUGGACGCACCGCUGGUGUACCAGUUGUUCUGCCAAGGGCAUCGCUGGGUAGCUAUGUGCGGACGGGAUAAGUGCUGAAAGCAUCUAAGCAUGAAGCCCCCCUCAAGAUGAGAUUUCCCAUUCCGCAAGGAAGUAAGAUCCCUGAAAGAUGAUCAGGUUGAUAGGUCUGAGGUGGAAGUGUGGCGACACAUGGAGCUGACAGAUACUAAUCGAUCGAGGACUCUCCCUC
Molecule: ribosomal RNA, 1387 nt
Filed under: fermentation metagenome
Description: bacterial LSU rRNA
Rfam family: Bacterial large subunit ribosomal RNA
Source: RNAcentral